Molecule: ribosomal RNA, 316 nt
Filed under: Ancyronyx variegatus
Lineage: Eukaryota; Metazoa; Arthropoda; Insecta; Coleoptera; Elmidae
Description: partial small subunit ribosomal RNA
Source: RNAcentral
AUUAGUAUUUAGUUUUUCUUUGAAAAUUAAAGAUUUUGGCGGUAUUUUAGUCUAUUCAGAGGAACCUGUUCUAUAAUUGAUAAUCCACGAUUUAUUUUACUUAAUUAAUUUGUAUAUCGUCGUUAUUGAAUAUUUUAUAAGAAUUAUAAUAUUCAAUUUAUUUUUUAAAAAUUAAGUCAGAUCAAGGUGCAGUUUAUAAUUAAGAGGUAAUGGGUUACAAUAAAUUUAUUUAUAUGGUUUUAUUAAUGAAAUUUAGUGAAUAAAGUGGGAUAGUAAUUUUUUUAAUUAAUCAAAAUGAUUUUAGCUCUAAAAUAUG